This 396-nucleotide ribosomal RNA is filed under the name Rhodotorula sp. RNAcentral's name for it is "partial large subunit ribosomal RNA". It matches the Rfam family "Eukaryotic large subunit ribosomal RNA", at positions 141 to 532 of the family's 3401-position model. The record is from RNAcentral. Lineage: Eukaryota; Fungi; Basidiomycota; Microbotryomycetes; Sporidiobolales; Sporidiobolaceae.
AGUUGUAAUCUCUAGAAAUGUUUUCCGCGUUGGACCGCACACAAGUCUGUUGGAAUACAGCGGCAUAGUGGUGAGACCCCCGUAUAUGGUGCGGACGCCCAGCGCUUUGUGAUACAUUUUCGAAGAGUCGAGUUGUUUGGGAAUGCAGCUCAAAUUGGGUGGUAAAUUCCAUCUAAAGCUAAAUAUUGGCGAGAGACCGAUAGCGAACAAGUACCGUGAGGGAAAGAUGAAAAGCACUUUGGAAAGAGAGUUAACAGUACGUGAAAUUGUUGGAAGGGAAACGCUUGAAGUCAGACUUGCUUGCCGAGCAAUCGGUUUGCAGGCCAGCAUCAGUUUUCCGGGAUGGAUAAUGGUAGAGAGAAGGUAGCAGUUUCGGCUGUGUUAUAGCUCUCUGCU